GGGUUGUGAGGUUAAGCGACUAAGCGUACACGGUGGAUGCCCUGGCAGUCAGAGGCGAUGAAGGACGUGCUAAUCUGCGAUAAGCGUCGGUAAGGUGAUAUGAACCGUUAUAACCGGCGAUUUCCGAAUGGGGAAACCCAGUGUGAUUCGUCACACUAUCAUUAACUGAAUCCAUAGGUUAAUGAGGCGAACCGGGGGAACUGAAACAUCUAAGUACCCCGAGGAAAAGAAAUCAACCGAGAUUCCCCCAGUAGCGGCGAGC
Molecule: ribosomal RNA, 262 nt
Filed under: Escherichia coli
Lineage: Bacteria; Pseudomonadati; Pseudomonadota; Gammaproteobacteria; Enterobacterales; Enterobacteriaceae
Also listed under: 1 other name
Description: partial 23S ribosomal RNA
Rfam family: Bacterial large subunit ribosomal RNA
Source: RNAcentral